UUUCUGCCCAAGUCUGACCUUGAGGGAGACAAUAAAAGAGGGUCAGAGCGCGCGCCUGGGGCAAGCCGACCACCGAGAGCCUUCCACAGUGUUUUUAGAUGCUCAUUGACCUGGAUGUGUGUGUGCUGUAGAAGUCUUGCGGCCCGGAAAGGUUUCUUGUGUCCUGCCUCCGUGGAGCUCAGAGAGUUUGACGAGGCCGCGAUGGGUUUGCGCACAACCAACCUGGGGCUGUGCAUGCGCAGAGCGCUGGAAGGUCUUUGCUGUCCUCGUCUUUGUGCUUCCAGUCUGUGGAUCUCCAGACGGCUGUUCUAUGUAACAGAGAACCCUAACAAAUGGCGACGUCGACUCUGCUGAUGUCAUCUCUGAUUAUAAAAGAGAGCUCAGACACAUGAUCUGAAAUCUACUCCAUUGCUGACAAUGCACACAAUGACACGCAAAAACUUUCGAGCAGUUGUGCAUCAGUUUCACAGCUGCCAAACUUCGGCAGCUUUUUUUAACCAGCACGUGUUCGUUUUGGAGCUGGGGAAUAUAACAUAUGGCAUUCAAUGGACUUUUAUUGACUUUGGCUUAGAUCUACAUUGACCUCAUUGAGUAGACAAGAAUCUAACCUGAGAAGAACCUAAUCUUUACUUCUGUAACAUCACAUUGCCACUUUAUUUAGAGUCUGCUCUUAAGUAUGAUGGAGGUGUCUUUGAUCCUUUACCACACGAUGAUGUUCUGGAAAUUUUGUUUUGGCGGAUGGGAUUUUUUUUUAACCCAAAUCCUGUGUUCCAAACAAUGGUGAGUUUUAAGAUUUUCGUUCAUUUAAUAUAAAGGAUAUGUUGAGUUAAUAAACAAACAAGAAAUGUUUUAAUGCUUCUUCCUAUACUUUAAUCAGUUUUGUUUUGACCAAAACUUCGGAAUCUUGAUCACUUCUAACUAUCCAAAGGAUAAAUGGACAACAAGGCUGGUGAGAAACUGGAUACUGCAGUACAUGUUAGCCAAAACAAAGAUUCAUCCCUUUUUGUUUUUUGUUUUUUGUUUCUCUCUAUUCUUGAUUUCUUUCAUGCUGGUCUUCUUGGUCAUCUGCAAGUCUUCCACUUGUUUUACAUAUUUAAAUCAGCAACAGUUUAAAUUAAGUCAGGAAAGGAAAUAGUGAAUGGCUUAGCACAAUUAUUAUGGUUAAGUGUUCUAGAGUUAAAUCCUAAGCUAAAUGCUAGAGAGAAUGUUUUUUUUUUAUGGCUGAAAGUUUGUAAAGAAUGCAUGAGGUAUGUCUGUCGUGUGGUGUGGCGUGUGUCCAUUGUGUCCACAAACCCGUCCAUGAUUGUGUGUGGCCUCUUUAAUAAGCCUGUUAAACCCCUUCUACCCCGAAUAGCAUUGACAAAAGCAGGUGUGGUGGUGGGUCAUGUGGUUGCUCAAAGCAACCACAUGCCAGUUGUUCAGUAUUCUUUCCCCAGUAUGGCCCCUUCCCCCCAUUAUAAAUAACCUCCAUCUAUCCCACUCCUCUUUCCCUUACUGCUUUGUUAGGAAUAGUUGCUGUCAAGAGCAUACGCAUCGCUGAGAUGCCAGCCCAGGUGAUUGAGGAUUAAGUCCUCUUGUUUCAGCAGUAAGUUGGGUUGCAGAUAAUGAACGACCUCUGUCCAACCUCUGACUGAGUGUCCCUGAUUGUAAUGCCAUGCCAGCAAUGCGGAAUUGAUUUACUUUUCAGGCAUGUCCAGUGUCACCAUGGGCUUACUGAUAUAGAACACAAGACACAAUGGCGUGUGCUGGUUUGACCCUAUUUGGUGCUGAGCUAAUUUAGAACAAUGGCGGAGGCAAGUCUAUGUUCCACCAUUAAAUUGGAAACUGUUGCUCUCCAACUUGCACCCGAAUGAAAAGAAAAAGAUACUUACCAUACUGUACUUUUAUAUUGCUGUUGUCAUAAGACUUGUAAAAUGUCCAUUAUCAUUUUUCCCCCCAGAAGAAAGAGCUGGCCUGAGUAAGUGGUUUGUUAAGCAGAAAAGACCAUCCAUUACAUCACAUAUAAAAAGACUCUUGAUUAAGAGUGCCAAUCAGGCAGCACUGGAGGAACCGCUUCGGUUGCAGGGGUCAAAGUAUGCAGAUGAUGUAGAAGACCUAUCUGAAAUGGUGCUCCACCUCAGCAAUGCUUACAAACAGACAAGUGAAUCACAAUUCAUAAACCAAAAGUCAACAUUUCUACACCAUAAACAACGAAGUAUCGAUUCAAUAAAUAAGUUAAACAAAUGGAAGCUAAGUGGCAUUAACAAACUAUGGGAAUGGAUCUUGAAGAGUCUGGACAUUGGAAUGAAGAUCUCAUGAAACAAAUGGCAGCAACAGAUCAUCAAAACAUCUUUCUGAAAAAACUUCCAACAGUAAUUCCCAGAAAGUGAAAAUUUUGCAUGCACAGAUAAACAAAGAUAACACAAUUACCACAUAGGGAAGUAAUUCUGAUGAUUGAAUGUGUGCUGAACCUGAAAAAGAAGCUCGAAAGUGAUAUCUCAAAUGUGGCUUUGAUGCAAUGGUGAUGCAAAGCUCAGGAGAGCAUCUACAGAUUGGAAGGUUAGUGUGCAUUGUAUCAUCUUGAACCAUUCUUUCUUGCUUGCAUUGCAGUUCCCAACUUCUAGGAAAGCACAUGCAGUGUUCAAAUUGGUGCACAUCAGCACACAAGUACAAGUAACUUUAACAGUAUUCAAGGUGCAAGGAUGGAACAAUAUUAACAAAAGAAUUUCUGCUUCAGAAACAUCCACUAUAGUGCAAAGGAGAACAGACAUGGAUGAUUCUCGAACCAACCGACUGUGCUUAUGCUAAAGACAAACACAUUAUCAAUCCACUAAUGUUCUUAUAUUUAGAGCAGGUGAGUCUUCUCAUUAAACUAUUCUAAUGAAGCAUACACCUCUUUCUAAUUUUUAUGGAGUUUGAGGAUUCUUUGUAAUGUAGACAGAAAAAAAUUAAUCAUUGCUUUUGCAUAGUAAAUAUUUCAUGCAGUAUUAAGAUGUUUUUUAGAACAUGUUGCCAGAAAUGAUUAAAAAUCGUGAAACAUAAAUAAAGAGAAUUACUAGCUUGA
This is a long non-coding RNA of Silurus meridionalis, 3043 nucleotides long. RefSeq lists it as uncharacterized. The record is from RefSeq and is a predicted model, not a curated record. Lineage: Eukaryota; Metazoa; Chordata; Actinopteri; Siluriformes; Siluridae. The transcript has 5 exons.